Molecule: ribosomal RNA, 504 nt
Filed under: uncultured bacterium
Lineage: Bacteria
Description: partial 16S ribosomal RNA
Rfam family: Bacterial small subunit ribosomal RNA
Source: RNAcentral
AUCGAACGCUGGCGGCAGGCCUAACACAUGCAAGUCGAACGGUAGCACAGAGAGCUUGCUCUCGGGUGACGAGUGGCGGACGGGUGAGUAAUGUCUGGGAAACUGCCCGAUGGGGGGGGAUAACUACUGGAAACGGUAGCUAAUACCGCAUAACGUCGCAAGACCAAAGUGGGGGACCUUCGGGCCUCACACCAUCGGAUGUGCCCAGAUGGGAUUAGCUAGUAGGUGGGGUAAUGGCUCACCUAGGCGACGAUCCCUAGCUGGUCUGAGAGGAUGACCAGCCACACUGGAACUGAGACACGGUCCAGACUCCUACGGGAGGCAGCAGUGGGGAAUAUUGCACAAUGGGCGCAAGCCUGAUGCAGCCAUGCCGCGUGUAUGAAGAAGGCCUUCGGGUUGUAAAGUACUUUCAGCGGGGAGGAAGGCGGUGAAGUUAAUAACUUCACCGAUUGACGUUACCCGCAGAAGAAGCACCGGCUAACUCCGUGCCAGCCGCCGCAGUAA